RNAcentral lists this ribosomal RNA (473 nucleotides) under uncultured bacterium. Its description in RNAcentral is "bacterial SSU rRNA". It matches the Rfam family "Bacterial small subunit ribosomal RNA", at positions 28 to 507 of the family's 1533-position model. The record is from RNAcentral.
GAUGAACGUUGGCGGCGUGCCUAAUACAUGCAAGUCGAACGAAGAGCCCGGUGUAGCAAUACACUGAAACUCUUAGUGGCGAACGGGUGAGUAACGCGUUGGUGACCUGCCCCAAAGAGAGGGAUAACAGUUCGAAAGGAUUGCUAAUACCUCAUGUGAUCGUCUGGAUUAGAUGCCUAAUGAUCAAAGGAGCUUGCUCCGCUUUGGGAGGGGCCUGCGUACCAUCAGCUAGUUGGUAGGGUAAUGGCCUACCAAGGCUAUGACGGUUAGGAGACCUGAGAGGGUGGCCCCCCACAAUGGAACUGAAAUACGGUCCAUACACCUACGGGUGGCAGCAGUAGGGAAUAUUGGUAAUGUGCGAAAGCGCGAACCAGCAACGCCGCGUGUGCGAAGAAGGCCUUCGGGUUGUAAAGCACUUUUCGGGAGGAAGAGGAAGGACUGUACUCCCGGAAUAAGCCUCGGCUAACUACGUG